This 218-nucleotide ribosomal RNA is filed under the name Colletotrichum sp. MUCL 42034. RNAcentral's name for it is "5.8S ribosomal RNA". The stretch from base 2 to 155 matches the Rfam family "5.8S ribosomal RNA". From Rfam's summary of the family: 5.8S ribosomal RNA (5.8S rRNA) is a component of the large subunit of the eukaryotic ribosome. It is transcribed by RNA polymerase I as part of the 45S precursor that also contains 18S and 28S rRNA. Functionally, it is thought that 5.8S rRNA may be involved in ribosome translocation. Lineage: Eukaryota; Fungi; Ascomycota; Sordariomycetes; Glomerellales; Glomerellaceae. The record is from RNAcentral.
AAACUUUUAACAACGGAUCUCUUGGUUCUGGCAUCGAUGAAGAACGCAGCGAAAUGCGAUAAGUAAUGUGAAUUGCAGAAUUCAGUGAAUCAUCGAAUCUUUGAACGCACAUUGCGCCCGCCAGCAUUCUGGCGGGCAUGCCUGUUCGAGCGUCAUUUCAACCCUCAAGCACUGCUUGGUGUUGGGGCUCUACGGUUGACGUAGGCCCCCAAAACUAG